This 497-nucleotide ribosomal RNA is filed under the name uncultured bacterium. RNAcentral's name for it is "partial 16S ribosomal RNA". It matches the Rfam family "Bacterial small subunit ribosomal RNA", at positions 29 to 507 of the family's 1533-position model. The record is from RNAcentral.
AAUGAACGCUGGCGGCAUGCCUAAUACAUGCAAGUCGAACGAACACACGGGGAGCUUUCGCCUCUGACGGUAGCGGCUGACGGAUGAGUAACACGUGGAUAGCCUACCUAUAAGACUGGGAUAAUUUCGUGGGACAGGGUCUACUACCGGAUAAUAUAUUGAACCGCAUUGUUCAAGAGUUAAAGACGCUUUUUGUGUCACUUAGAGCUGAUUCCGGGCCGCAUUAGUUAGUUGGUAAGGUAACGGCUUAGCAAGGCAACGAUGCGGAGCCGACCUGAGAGGGUGAUCGGCCACACUGGAACUGAGAAACGGUCAAGACUCCUACGGGAGGAAGCAGUAGGGAAUCUUACGCAAUGGGCGAAAGCCUGACGGAGCAAAGCCGCGUGAGUGAUGAAGGCCUUCGGAUUGUAAAGCCCUGUUAUUAGGGAAGAAAAAAAGCGUAUUUAACCAUGAACGUAUUGACGGUACCUAAAGAGAAAGCACCGGCUAACUACGUG